AGAGUUUGAUCAUGGCUCAGGACGAACGCUGGCGGCGCGCUUAACACAUGCAAGUCGAACGUGAAGCCGGAGCUUGCUCCGGUGGAAAGUGGCGAACGGGUGCGUAACACGUGAGCAACCUGCCCCGAAGACUGGGAUAACACCGGGAAACCGGUGCUAAUACCGGAUACCUUCUUCCGAUCGCAUGGUUGGAUGAAGAAAUGGAUUCCGCUUCGGGAUGGGCUCGCGGCCUAUCAGCUUGUUGGUGAGGUAACGGCCCACCAAGGCGACGACGGGUAGCUGGUCUGAGAGGACGACCAGCCACACUGGGACUGAGACACGGCCCAGACUCCUACGGGAGGCAGCAGUGGGGAAUCUUGCUCAAUGGGCGAAAGCCUGAAGCAGCGACGCCGCGUGCGGGAUGAAGGCCCUCGGGUUGUAAACCGCUUUCAGCAGGGACGAAAUUGACGGUACCUGCAGAAGAAGGCCCGGCCAACUACGUGCCAGCAGCCGCGGUA
RNAcentral lists this ribosomal RNA (497 nucleotides) under uncultured Actinomycetes bacterium. Its description in RNAcentral is "bacterial SSU rRNA". It matches the Rfam family "Bacterial small subunit ribosomal RNA", at positions 8 to 522 of the family's 1533-position model. Lineage: Bacteria; Bacillati; Actinomycetota; Actinomycetes. The record is from RNAcentral.